AACCUCCGCAAUGUGAGAAAUCGCGACGGGGGGAUCCCAAGUGCCAUUCUUAACGGGAUGGCUUUUCUUAAGUGUAAAAAGCUUUUGGAAUAAGAGCUGGGCAAGACCGGUGCCAGCCGCCGCGGUAACACCGGCAGCUCUAGUGGUAGUUGUUUUUAUUGGGCCUAAAGCGUUCGUAGCCGGUUUGAUAAGUCACUGGUGAAAUCCUGUAGCUUAACUGUGGGAAUUGCUGAUGAUACUGUUGAACUUGAGGUCGGGAGAGGUUAGCGGUACUCCCAGGGUAGAGGUGAAAUUUUGUAAUCCUGGGAGGACCACUGUGGCGAAGGCGGCUAACUGGAACGAACCUGACGGUGAGGGACGAAAGCUAGGGCGCGAACCGGAUUAGAUACCCGGGUAGUCCUAGCCGUAAACGAUGCGGACUUGGUGUUGGGAUGGCUUUGAGCCGCUCCGGUGCCGAAGGGAAGCUGUUAAGUCCGCCGCCUGGGAAGUACGGUCGCAAGACUGAAACUUAAAGGAAUU
RNAcentral lists this ribosomal RNA (519 nucleotides) under uncultured bacterium. RNAcentral describes it as "bacterial SSU rRNA". It matches the Rfam family "Archaeal small subunit ribosomal RNA", at positions 345 to 866 of the family's 1478-position model. The record is from RNAcentral.